AAUAAUACAAAAAAAUGUAAUAAAAACUGCAUAAUAAAGCCCGUGUCACGAUCACGCACGAAUAAAUCACGCGUUCGGUUUAAAAAUAAACAAAAUUUGACACACGUUGAAAAAAGAGAACAAAACCAAAAACAACGUCGCCCAAAAAUCGAUGCACAAAAAGUGUGCACAUCUAUUUGAAUAUGUUUUCGGGCUCGUUUCGUAUUUUUUUUUUAUAUUUUUUUUCUGGUGUGCCAGCAAUGUGUUUCGAUUUGUGUGUUGUCGCGUGAAAAAAAUUCGUUGACAGCCGUGAAAAUCUUCAAAAAUGUGCAAGUGUAUACGUAAAAAGUCUGGCUAGAAUGAGAUAUGAAAAACUGCGGUUCUAUGUGAUAUUUUUGAAGUGCUCCAAAAAGAACUCGCUGAGAAGUUGAGCGUUAGCUUACAGCUGUUGCAAGGUAAUUAGGCAAUUGUCUAGAGAAAUAUUGAUAUAAAUGAAACGGAACUACAUAUAUAAAUAUUGACGAGCAUAUUCCUGGAAUUAAAAUAUGCUACAUAAAGCGGAUGCUCCACGCUUCAGGCUUUGCACGUGCAUUUUGUGGCCAACGGGAAAUCUAUUUAAAUGAAAAUGCUGAACUGUCAUCAAUUCGGAUUGUUUUCGGGGUCACGGUAACCAACCCAGUGGAAGAUGGCACGAAUUUUUGCUAUACCAAACAUGUUUAACAGCCAGUGUUGGUGCCGGGGUCGACAUCCAAAUGCGAAGCCCUCAACAAUGGGGCAACACUGCGCGAACGGGGGCAACACGCAGACGUCGGCGCGCUCUGCACGCGACACACAAAGCAACACGAGAAAACACACACACACACACACACAGCACACACGCUGCGCGGUCAAGAGUCAACAGACACAGCAUAUGACCAAUUGCCGUGUUAAUUUAUGGCUCUCCAUGACACGAUUUAUGCCAUGGUGCGCACACUUUUUGCAUGCACUGUGCAUAUAUGUACAUAUGGGAAGCGUAAGGAAGCACAAGUCUUUUGUUUUUGCUGCCUGUAUUAAAAUUUCCAAAUGGUUAUUGACGCUGAGGCUGAGCUGCAGACGCCACAAAAGUGGGCAUGCCCACUUGAUAAAUAAGAAGAAGAAAAAGCGACAGAGAAAAGCUCAUAAAAAAAAAAGAAAAGAAGAAAACGAAACGAAAUGCCGAAGCAGCACGUGAUAAACGCACUUAACAGACUAAAGAAUUCAAAAUUCCAACUGAUCCUGGAAACUACGAGGAGUCCUUAAGGGCGCAAGUAUCCAGGAUUGGACUUCAAUAGCCCGGGAUAAAGUCAUUGUAGGUUUA
This 1315-nucleotide small RNA is filed under the name Drosophila virilis. RNAcentral describes it as "GJ27003". Lineage: Eukaryota; Metazoa; Arthropoda; Insecta; Diptera; Drosophilidae. The record is from RNAcentral.